UACGAGGGGGGCGAGCGUUGUUCGGAAUUAUUGGGCGUAAAGGGCGCGUAGGCGGUGCGGUAAGUCACCUGUGAAACCUCUGGGCUUAACUCAGAGCCUGCAGGCGAAACUGCCGUGCUGGAGUGUGGGAGAGGUGCGUGGAAUUCCAUGUGUAAGCGGUGAAAUGCGUAGAGAUAUGGAGGAACACCAGUGGCGAAGGCGGCGUUCCUGGUCUGUAACUGACACUGAGGCGCGAAAGCGUGGGGAGCAAACAGG
RNAcentral lists this ribosomal RNA (255 nucleotides) under uncultured bacterium. RNAcentral's name for it is "partial 16S ribosomal RNA". It matches the Rfam family "Bacterial small subunit ribosomal RNA", at positions 524 to 776 of the family's 1533-position model. The record is from RNAcentral.